RNAcentral lists this ribosomal RNA (425 nucleotides) under uncultured bacterium. RNAcentral's name for it is "bacterial SSU rRNA". It matches the Rfam family "Bacterial small subunit ribosomal RNA", at positions 354 to 796 of the family's 1533-position model. The record is from RNAcentral.
GUGGGGAAAAUUGGACAAUGGGCGCAAGCCUGAUCCAGCCAUGCCGCGUGAGUGAUGAAGGCCUUAGGGUUGUAAAGCUCUUUUGUCCGGGAAGAUAAUGACUGUACCGGAAGAAUAAGCCCCGGCUAACUUCGUGCCAGCAGCCGCGGUAAUACGAAGGGGGCUAGCGUUGUUCGGAAUCACUGGGCGUAAAGCGCACGUAGGCGGACCAUUAAGUCAGGGGUGAAAGCCUGGAGCUCAACUCCAGAACUGCCUUUGAUACUGAUGGUCUCGAGUAUGGAAGAGGUUGGUGGAACUGCGAGUGUAGAGGUGAAAUUCGUAGAUAUUCGCAAGAACACCGGUGGCGAAGGCGGCCAACUGGUCCAUUACUGACGCUGAGGUGCGAAAGCGUGGGGAGCAAACAGGAUUAGAAACCCUUGUAGUCC